This 439-nucleotide ribosomal RNA is filed under the name uncultured bacterium. RNAcentral describes it as "partial 16S ribosomal RNA". It matches the Rfam family "Bacterial small subunit ribosomal RNA", at positions 339 to 795 of the family's 1533-position model. The record is from RNAcentral.
CUACGGGACGCAGCAGUGGGGAAUAUUGGACAAUGGGGGCAACCCUGAUCCAGCAAUGCCGCGUGUGUGAAGAAGGUCUUCGGAUCGUAAAGCACUUUCGACAGGGACGAUGAUGACGGUACCUGUAGAAGAAGCCCCGGCUAACUUCGUGCCAGCAGCCGCGGUAAUACGAAGGGGGCUAGCGUUGCUCGGAAUUACUGGGCGUAAAGGGCGGGUAGGCGGCUCGGUCAGUCAGGCGUGAAAUUCCUGGGCUUAACCUGGGGACUGCGCUUGAUACUGUCGAGCUUGAGGCCGAGAGAGGGUGGUGGAAUUCCCAGUGUAGAGGUGAAAUUCGUAGAUAUUGGGAAGAACACCGGUGGCGAAGGCGACCACCUGGCUCGGUACUGACGCUGAGGCGCGACAGCGUGGGGAGCAAACAGGAUUAGAUACCCGGGUAGUC